Molecule: ribosomal RNA, 253 nt
Filed under: uncultured bacterium
Lineage: Bacteria
Description: partial 16S ribosomal RNA
Rfam family: Bacterial small subunit ribosomal RNA
Source: RNAcentral
UACAGAGGGGGCAAGCGUUGUUCGGAAUUACUGGGCGUAAAGGGCGUGUAGGCGGCCGCCUAAGUCAGACGUGAAAUCCCUCGGCUCAACCGGGAAACUGCGUCUGAUACCGGGUGGCUUGAAUUCGGGAGAGGGAUGCAGAAUUCCAGGUGUAGCGGUGAAAUGCGUAGAUAUCUGGAGGAACACCGGUGGCGAAGGCGGCAUCCUGGACCGAGAUUGACGCUGAGAGGCGAAAGCCAGGGGAGCAAACGGG